This 253-nucleotide ribosomal RNA is filed under the name uncultured bacterium. RNAcentral's name for it is "partial 16S ribosomal RNA". It matches the Rfam family "Bacterial small subunit ribosomal RNA", at positions 524 to 776 of the family's 1533-position model. The record is from RNAcentral.
UACGAAGGGGGCUAGCGUUGCUCGGAAUUACUGGGCGUAAAGCGCGUGUAGGCGGUCCGGUAAGUCCGCUGUGAAAGUCGGGGGCUCAACCCUCGAAUGCCGGUGGAUACUGUCGGGCUAGAGUGCGGAAGAGGCGAGUGGAAUUCCUGGUGUAGCGGUGAAAUGCGCAGAUAUCAGGAGGAACACCAAUUGCGAAGGCAGCUCGCUGGGACGUAACUGACGCUGAGACGCGAAAGCGUGGGGAGCAAACAGG